GAUCCUGGCUCAGGAUGAACGCUAGCGACAGGCUUAACACAUGCAAGUCGAGGGGCAGCGGUGGUGUAGCAAUACACCGCCGGCGACCGGCGCACGGGUGAGUAACGCGUAUGCAACUUGCCUAUCAGGAGGGGGAUAACCCGGCGAAAGUCGGACUAAUACCGCAUGAAGCAGGGAUCCCGCAUGGGAAUAUUUGCUAAAGAUUCAUCGCUGAUAGAUAGGCAUGUCCG
RNAcentral lists this ribosomal RNA (230 nucleotides) under uncultured bacterium. RNAcentral describes it as "partial 16S ribosomal RNA". It matches the Rfam family "Bacterial small subunit ribosomal RNA", at positions 15 to 237 of the family's 1533-position model. The record is from RNAcentral.